Canis lupus familiaris (dog) is the source of this 537-nucleotide long non-coding RNA. RefSeq lists it as uncharacterized. The transcript is spliced from 3 exons. The record is from RefSeq and is a predicted model, not a curated record. NCBI's taxonomy places the organism in Eukaryota, Metazoa, Chordata, Mammalia, Carnivora, Canidae.
GUGAGGCAGCGUGAAGCUCCUGCUGUGACCUUCUGGUGACUCCUGAGGAGGGGCGGCCGGUCCGCAGCAGCUGACGGGGGUGACGGAAGCUUCCAGAGCCCCCGCGGCGGAGGGGUGCGGGGGCUGCUGCGCCCGGCUCUCUACUUUGGCACUGUCCAGCCCUCCCAAGAGGCAACUACCCAGCAUCCCAAGCCCCUGGGUCCAACUCUCCCCAUCUGAUCCCACUAAUUUCUACAGCUGUGACGACAGCCAGACCACACCUUCUGCUAAUGUACACUCUUCAAGAAGCUCCAUUUAACAUCUUGAGUCAACCGACAUGCUUUGAAGUAAACACUGCAGGAAGGCCCAGAUGGACACGAAUUUUGGGGGGCAUCCUACUCACCCCAAUUCAUGCUCUCAUAGAGACAACGAUGAAUAUAAAAAAAAUCAGGAGCACCUGGAUGACUCAGUGGUUGAGUAUCUGCCUUUGGCUCAGGUCGUGAUCCUGGGGUCCUGGGACCAAGUCCCACUUCAGGCUCCCUGCAGGGAGCCCUCUUC